GCCUGGGGUGCACGGAGGAAGCUCAGGGGCUGUUCGGUCCGCUUCCAGAACCAGUCUCCAGGGCUUCAUGGCAGAGCCUGGACACUGACGUGAUGGUGCAGGUCUUGGAGCUGUUGGCCUUGGAGUAAUUCCUGUCCCUUCCACCUGGAGAAACAGAACAGAAUGAAAACAGCAAGAAGGAGGUAACCAUGGAGGAUUUGAUCCAGAUGCUUGAAGAGAAAGCUCUACAUUUGCAGGAUUCUGCCCUUUCUCAUCUGGGAGACACAGAGGAGAAGGACUCUGGGAUCCUGAUGACCAGGUCUCAGGUGAGUUGAAGUUUCUUCUGUCUCUCCUGAAAAACCAUCUUGGGUCUCACUGAGUAGAAACAUUUCCUUCCUUUAUCUAGGAGCUUCCCUACCCAACAAAGCCCCAUCCAGGAUCCAGGAUCCUAACUCUUUUCCCUCAGGAAACUUAAACCUAUUCUGAUGCAUAAAGGACUUACUGAGAAUAUUGCCCAGCUUUCAC
This 504-nucleotide long non-coding RNA is filed under the name Vombatus ursinus (common wombat). RNAcentral describes it as "lncRNA (ENSVURG00010014743.1)". The record is from RNAcentral. Lineage: Eukaryota; Metazoa; Chordata; Mammalia; Diprotodontia; Vombatidae.